GAAGGUCAGUGAGUUUCUGGGCUUCUGACAGACCGUUGCAUCCUUCAUCCAGUGCUGCACAACUGUUUCUGGAUUCUGAGUCAUGGAGAAGGCAAAAGAAUUGUCAAAGGAUCUGCAAGAAAAGAUGGAUUUAAGACAGUUAUCCGCCCGCACCAGAGAAGAAGCAGCAGGAAUGAGAGAUGUAAGUGAAGUCCUAGCUAGCUAGGCAACAUCAUUGUCUUAAGUUGAUGCUAAGUUAGCUAACAUUAUUCCUUGUAUCAAGACAAACAUAUUCAUUUGCUGUACGAGCUGUCGGGGGAAUUUCCAAUGAACAUGAAACAUCAUGUUGGUUAUUGUCUGCUGCUUCUGCAUCAAUGAUGAUUUGGAGUCAGCAUGUGUGAGUCAAAUGCUUUAUCUUCAGGAAGAAAAACAUUUUUCCAUAUCAUCAAGUCGUGAGACAAAUUUUUAAAUCCUUCAAGUUUAUUUCACAGAAAAAUAGCACAGUAGACUUGUCUUGUUAAUCGCUGUGACUUUGACUAAAAUAAUCUUGUUUUGUCACCAGAAAAAUGGCUACAGCUAAAGCAUCUGGUUUUGUUUCCAGAAAAAAUAAUAACAUUUCUGUAUUUGUUUUCAGAAAGAUGGCUGAAAAUAUCGGGUUUUGUUGCCCCAUUUAGAUUUUUAAAAAAUAUAUUUCCAUGUCUGUCCUGAGUCCUCCUCCAACUUGUUAGUCGCUUUGCCUUUUGCUAAAAUACUCACUAAUAGUCACUAGAAAAAUGGCUAAAAAUAUCCACAUUUUGAUUUUUUUCUCCCUAAACUUUUUUUUUUUCAUGCACACAUGUGACUGAAAAUGACCCACAAUCCACUUUUAUGUCGCGACCCAGCAGUUGGGAACCACUGGUCAACUGUACAACAGUUACUGUAAUAUUUCCAUGUCUGUCCAGAGUGAUUGACCACUUUGCAAAAAUGAAAAGGAGACGUUCCAGUUGUUCAUUUAUUCUACUACUGUGGCUUUAUUGUUUUGUGUAUAUUUUAUAGUUUUGUGUAUCUGAAAUAGGAUUAGCCACAUUGCCAUAAAUGGAAAUUAAAUAAUAUAAAAGAACCCAGAGAUGUAGGGGUGCUUUAUUUUUGGUUUUACUUUUGUAGAUGUUAAAUUUGCAGAUGAUUACUGCAAUAUAUAGAUUCAUUGCUCUUCCUUUUUGCUUUUACCAAUAGCAGUUUAGAAGUCUGGAGUAAAAAAGUGCACAAGUAGGUCAAAUGCAUGAGUUAAUUUCAGGUGGUUGAUCAAAGAUCCAUACAACAUCAUCUGAUAUGAUUUCAUAGUUUAAAGCACUAUUUAUGUACUUUUUAUGAUAAAUAAGUGCUAAAAAUGUUUUUGCUUGCGCGCUUUGCAUGCUCACAUGAAUUAUUUGUGCCCCAGGUGUGCCCCAGUAAAGUAUUAGGUCUAGUGACGCCCCUGAGGCAGGGUACACCCUGGACAAGUCGCCACCUCAUCGCAGGGCCAACACAGAUAGACAGACAACAUUCACACACUAGGGCCAAUUUAGUGUUGCCAAUCAACCUAUCCUAGUAGAAGCAUUUAAGUCUCACCUUAAAACUCAUCUGUAUACUCUAGCCUUUAAAUAGACCUCCUUUUUAGACCAGUUGAUCUGCCGCUUCUUUUCUUUCUCCUAUGUCCCCCCCUCCCUUGUGGAGGGGGUCCGGUCCGAUGACCAUGGAUGAAGUACUGGCUGUCCAGAGUCGAGACCCAGGAUGGACCGCUCGUCGGGACCCAGGAUGGACCGCUCGCCUGUAUCGGUUGGGGACAUCUCUACGCUGCUGAUCCGCUUGAGAUGGUUUCCUGUGGACGGGACUCUCGCGGCUGUGUUGGAGCCACUAUGGAUUGAACUUUCACAGUAUCAUGUUAGACCCGCUCGACAUCCAUUGCUUUCGGUCCCCUAGAGGGGGGGGGUUGCCCACAUCUGAGGUCCUCUCCAAGGUUUCUCAUAGUCAGCAUUGUCACUGGCGUCCCACUGGAUGUGAAUUCUCCCUGCCCACUGGGUGUGAGUUUUCCUUGCCCUUUUGUGGGUUCUUCCGAGGAUGUCGUAGUCGUAAUGAUUUGUGCAGUCCUUUGAGACAUUUGUGAUUUGGGGCUAUAUAAAUAGACAUUGAUUGAUCCCCAGGUGCAUGUCUUUGGAGGUGGGAGGAAGCCGGAGUACCCGGAGGGAACCCACGCACUCACGGGGAGAACAUGCAAACUCCACACAGAAAGAUCCCGAGCCUGGAUUUGAACCUAGGAUUAUUUACAAUAUAUUUGAGAGCCCAACCCCAUGGGUUUAGUGUCAUUUCUCAUGAGUGAGCUAUGCUACUGUACAUGAUUAACUUUCACCAUUUUCAUAUAUAUGCCUUUUAUUUAAGUAAAUACACUUCAGAAUACAUGCUGCAGGUUUUGUAAAAGCAAAAUAUCCUGUUAGUAUUGCCAUUUUUUUUUCUCUGACAGACACACGUGUAUUUUACAAUGUACUAUAUUACAAACAUGUAGAUAUGUGGUACAAAUCUGAGUACAGUAAUAAUAAUAAAAAAGGAAGACAGUA
Nerophis ophidion (straightnose pipefish) is the source of this 2549-nucleotide long non-coding RNA. RefSeq lists it as uncharacterized. Lineage: Eukaryota; Metazoa; Chordata; Actinopteri; Syngnathiformes; Syngnathidae. The transcript has 2 exons. The record is from RefSeq and is a predicted model, not a curated record.